GAUAAUAUUUUAUUUUUCUCUUCAAUCUCAUCAAAUUUAUCAAAAAAUACUAUGUUACCUCUAAAACCUAUCAAAAAUGUCCCCCCUUUAUCCCUCCUGAAUCCACCAUAUUUGCUGGUGCCAUUUUCCACAUGGCCUAUACCCCCAUCCUCUUUCUCAUCAUUCCUUGCAGAGUUAAAAGUAUUGUAACACAGCAGAGCCUAUUGUGCUCAAUGCUUGAAACCCUCUCAUGGGUUGCUAGUGCAUUUGGAGUAAAAUUUAAGCUACUUUUAGUGGCCAAGAGUCCAUAUUGGUUAAGAUAAGUUCAUUUGCAAAUAACAGAAAUUCCAAAUAGACGCUAUCUCCAGGAAGAGAGUGUCAGAGUGGAACUGAAUUAGAGGACUUCCAGCUUCAGUCUGCUGCAAAAUUGAUGGCUUGCUUGUUGGUGAGGUGUGGGUUGUGAGAUCUGUCACAACUUCCCAACUAUGCUAUUGUGGAUCAAAAGCAGCUAUAGACAAUAUGUAAAUGAAGGACUAUGAUUGAUGUUUGACUAGGAAUCAUAAUCCCUGUGGUAGUUACUAUAAUUUUAUAGACGUGAGCAUUUGUUAGAUGGCCUCCCCUCCCACGUCUGCCAUCACUGACAGUGAAAGUCAGCCAGUGACCCUGAAUUGUCUGCCAUUUCUCUCUCCUCUUU
This 673-nucleotide long non-coding RNA is filed under the name Homo sapiens (human). Its description in RNAcentral is "non-protein coding lnc-FH-4:3". Lineage: Eukaryota; Metazoa; Chordata; Mammalia; Primates; Hominidae. The record is from RNAcentral.